GGAGACGUCGCAUAGUGGUCUAGUGCGCUCGCUUGGAAAGCGAGUAGGGUGAAAGCUCUCGAGGGUUCGAAUCCCUCCGUCUCCGCAA
RNAcentral lists this transfer RNA (88 nucleotides) under Candidatus Kaiserbacteria bacterium CG10_big_fil_rev_8_21_14_0_10_45_20. RNAcentral describes it as "tRNA-Ser". It matches the Rfam family "tRNA". Rfam says of the family: Transfer RNA (tRNA) molecules are approximately 80 nucleotides in length. Their secondary structure includes four short double-helical elements and three loops (D, anti-codon, and T loops). The record is from RNAcentral. Lineage: Bacteria; Candidatus Kaiseribacteriota.